RNAcentral lists this ribosomal RNA (410 nucleotides) under uncultured microorganism. RNAcentral's name for it is "bacterial SSU rRNA". It matches the Rfam family "Bacterial small subunit ribosomal RNA", at positions 509 to 917 of the family's 1533-position model. The record is from RNAcentral.
CAGCCGCCGCGGUAAUACGUAGGGGGCGAGCGUUGUCCGGAAUUAUUGGGCGUAAAGCGCGCGCAGGCGGUCCUUUAAGUCUGAUGUGAAAGCCCACGGCUCAACCGUGGAGGGUCAUUGGAAACUGGGGGACUUGAGUGCAGGAGAGGAGAGCGGAAUUCCACGUGUAGCGGUGAAAUGCGUAGAGAUGUGGAGGAACACCAGUGGCGAAGGCGGCUCUCUGGCCUGUAACUGACGCUGAGGCGCGAAAGCGUGGGGAGCAAACAGGAUUAGAUACCCUGGUAGUCCACGCCGUAAACGAUGAGUGCUAAGCGUUAGAGGGGUCACACCCUUUAGUGCUGUAGCUAACGCGAUAAGCACUCCGCCUGGGGAGUACGGCCGCAAGGCUGAAACUUAAAGGGAUUGGCGGG